ACACCACACCACAACACAACUUGGAAACAAACUUGAUUCAUUCACAUCUUCUUCUGUUAUUAGGGUUUCAUAUUCCUCCUUAUCUGCCCCCUUUACACUCUUCAAUCUUCGUCCCAAUGAAACCAGGAUUCAUCUGAUUCCUCUUCAACCACACUCCUUCUUCCUCUUCACCAAUCCCUUUUCCCUAAUUNNNNNNNNNNNNNNNNNNNNNNNNNNNNNNNNNNNNNNNNNNNNNNNNNNNNNNNNNNNNNNNNNNNNNNUAUAUAUAUUGCUCGAGUAUAUAAGGAGACUUAUUCAUGUUUAUUAAGUCAUUUCUCCAAUAGUUUAUAUAUGUGUUUCACGAAAAUUAAAUCCUUCUGGGAUUUUCAUAUAAUCAUCAUUAUCAAGUGAGUCAUUCAAACACAUUGUAACACAUAUGUGCAACUAAACUUAAUCAAUAAAGAAGUUCUGAAUUCACUUCAAGUGAAUACGCCUCUUGAAAAAUUAAUGGUAGAUGUAUCAUUAUUUUCUUUUCGCGCGAAAACUAAUUUGUACUAAUUAUUUUCAUCUUCAGGUGUAUGGACUGCUGGUCCAACAACCUUUUGCUUUGCAAAGCUAGUUUAAUAGUUUCAAUCGCGUCUACCUAUCUAGUCAAUACUUUCAUUGUCUAUAAUCUUUGAUUCAUGAUCCUCAUUGUCAUUUGUCACAUAUAGCGCUUUAUUAUAUGCAAAAAAAUAUUGUCAACGUUGACUUCAUCUCGGUUCCAUCAUAUUUUAUCCAUGACAUAAUUUAUUGAGAUCUCUUUAUUUUCAUAUCUUUCAGGUACCUGAUAAGUUCUUCUGGNNNNNNNNNNNNNNNNNNNNNNNNNNACGCUUCAGGGUGGUUAAAUUUCAUUUGCUUGCCCAUCAAGGACAUCCAUUUUGAUUGGAGCAUUAGCAGCUGUUUAUUAAUUUCAUAGACUAUGCAAAUGAAUUAUCUUUAGAACUUCUGGUUCAUACUAAUUAGUAAGAGGAUCAAGACGAGAUAAAAAUAAUAAUAAUUUACUUCAAGUGAUUCAAUUGAACUUCUGGUUCACAAUUUCAGUUGCUUAUUCUCUCCCCCUAAUAUUGGGAAAACUAAUUCAUCAUUUGAGAACCAGCCUACAGAGCUGAAAAUAAGUCCAAUUUUUUUUUUUUGCUCAAGAUACUUUAUAAUAUAUGAAGAUUCAUAUCAAAUAUAUUUUCCCAAUAUUCUUUAAGAACCGUUUAAAUGCAUUAUAUUGGAGCAAUUUCACAUACACAACACAUCCAAAAAUGCUGAUAUGGGAAUCAUGUUUAUAAACCAAAGUUCAAAUUGUAAAUUAGGGGAGAACUUAUAAUAACUUGUUGGCUUGAUGCGAAUCAAUANNNNNNNNNNNNNNNNNNNNNNNNNNNNNNNNNUCUCAUAAGUAUCAGUCAUGUGAUUACUUUAGACGUCUAAAGAAUGGAUCUUCUAGUCCAUUUUUUUUUGUAUGAUCAUAUUCUAUUCGAUAUCGAUUUCAAUUGACAUACGAUAACUUAUCAAAUAUUUUCUAAGAAUUUAGAAAAUGAGAUCUUAGCAAAACUAUUUGAGAAAACAAACUCACAAACUUCUGGUUGUGAGUAAACAUGCAUGUGACCAAUUUAGUUGAUGCAUCAAUUCAAGUCACAAAAUAUCUAAAUGGUCAAAAAUCUCAAAUUAUCAAUUUCUUUUGGGAAUUAGUAACCGAUAAAAAUUAUUAGAAUGAAGAAACUUCGGGUCCUUCAAUAUAUAUUUAUAGUAUUUUUCGCAUCAUAAUAAAUUUGGGAUGACCCAACCGGUAUUGCCAACAAUAAAUUCAAUAUGAUUUGUAAACUUCUGGUUUACAAUAAUUUGUGCUUCAAUUGCAUUAUUAUAUAUAAAAGUGUAGUGUAAACUUCUGGUUUAUAACUUUUUCAUUACACUUAAUUUAUCCAAAAUAUGUGUAGUAAUAUAUAGAGAUAUCCAACAUCUCUUCAUUUCUUGUUUCCAUAUUGAUAUUCAUAUAUGAAUGACAAGAAGAUUAUACUUAUGCAAUCAAUUGUUCUGCAAAUCAACAUCUCUCUUAUUAUUGGACUGAAUUGUUACUAUUGUCAUUUAUGUCCGUUUAAAAACGUUUCAUCAUAUUAGCGAGUGAAUGCCCGUACCAAUCAUUUGUACAUUUAUAUAAAUGAGCUUCAAGCAAACUUCAUGUUGCCACUCGAAUUCUUCCUUGCAAAUGGAGACAAUAAACUUUGAUGACUUUACAAGUCAUCUCAAAUAGCCACAAAUCAACGACAAACCAAUAUAUAAUAAUAAAAAAAACUAUAAUAAUAAAUUAAUGUAAGGAUAAUUUAAUACUCAAUUGUCUUAAUAGUUUCUCAAAAUAAUAAUUUCAAUAACAGUUUGCAAGUGAGCAUUCAAAUAACAACAAGACAAUAUAAAAUUUAUAAAAUAUUUACAAAUAUUCAUAUAAAUAACAGUUGGUGUAAUAAUUAUCUUAAAAAAAACAUUUGGUGUAAUAAUUAACAAAAUUGAGCCUAAAAUAAAUUUCCAAAUAGAACACUUUAACAAAAUAAUUAACAUUAGUGUUACAACUUUUAAAGUAAAAGAGAGUUUCUCAUAUAAUAUUUUAGGCUCAAAUUGUGAGAUUAUAUAGUUUAAAAUUAUAUAUGAUUCUCAGUUCUCACAUUCAAUCAACACCAAAUAUUUAAAAAAAUUCACAAAAUAAAUUCAAAUCCCAUAAACCAAGGAUAUGAUAUUAAUAUCUAACAAAUAUUCUUGAAUUCUUGAAUUGAAUAUAUAAAAAAAAUAUUCUAUGUAUAAAUUAUAAUUAAAUUAAGGUAUAAAUUAUAAUUUUAUUUCCAAAAGAAAAAAAUAUCAAUUAAAUUGAUUUAUUAUGGAAGAAAAAUAUUUCCUUAAUAAGACACAAUUCAUACCUUGAGCAUUGUAGUAGCUGAAUUAAUUCAUAAUAACACAGAGGACAAAAUUAUCGUAUAAAAUAAAAUGAAUAAAGUAUUAAGUCAUGCACACCUUUUAAUUUAAUGUGAUGAUUUAAUGGGAAAAGUAUAUAUAAUAACACUUUGAUCAUUAAUAUUACAUAAAAUGUUGAUCAAUUAUUUAUUUGUAAUAUGUAUUUUGGAUGUUUGAUAUUGUUUGAGUUUUGUGACCGACAAUAGUCUGGUGAAGCAUCAUUAUGCUUCGUGACCGACACCUGUAUGGUGAAACAUCAACACUUCGAUCAUCCAAAAGAACAUAAACAUGUUUAAGAAUUCAUAAUCUUGGUUCCUGAAGAACCUAGAAAGUUAAUACAUAAAUUCCCGAAGAAUUCAUAAUCUUGGUUCCUAAAGAACCUAUUCUUAGUUCCUAAAGAACUUAGACAUUUAAUACAUGAAUUCCCGAAGAAUUCACAAUCUUAGUUCCCGAAGAACUUAAAAAAAUUAAUUUUGUUCCUGAAGAACUUACAAAAUAUCACCAUUUAUCACCAAUCACCAUGCAUCCCUAAUGGAUUGCACAUCAAAAUACUUUUAUGUGUUAUAUAGAUCCUGAAGAACUAAUAAAACAACUUCUUUUUUUUUCUCUUCAAUGAAUUCUAGAUGAAUUCAAUAUUCCUACAUCCUUGAAGGAUUGUAAAUUGAUAGUGAUUUAUUAUAUAGUUCCUGAAGAACUCAAUGGAUAAAAUUAUAAAAUUCAAUUGCUAAGUAAAUUUCACCGUUUGUAGCAUGAAUCGCACCGUUUGUUUUUACGGCCUGCAGUAAUAUAACCUUACCUUAAAAACAAAGGUCAAUGGCCGUAUUGAUUUUUCCUUUAAAAAUUCUAAAUUAUGACAAAUCUUCAUAUUUAAUAUUAUUUCCAAAUAUAACUAUCAAUGUUUUAUUUUAUUUAAAAAAAUAUAUAUAUAUAUAUAUAUUCCUUAUGGAUCGUUUUUUUAUUUUUGAUUUUGUUUCCAUAUACCAAUUGUCAUACUUUUAACAAAAGAGAUGUUGGAUAUCACGAAGCGUAAACAACAUUGAAUCAAUUAAAUACAUAAAGAAAGAUGCUUAUUUAUUUAUUUAAUUUUAAAUUUUAAUUAUUAUUAUUUGAUCUUUAUAAGUAUACAAGGUUCAAACGAUUCAUAAUCAUAUAAUAAUCAAAAAUAAAAACUACUUGUGAUUUCAUAAAAAUAGAAUAAGAAUUGCGUACCUCGGUUGGUAAGCUCGUGCUGAUAACGUGUUAUGAAAUAUAAGUAAUAGUAAUAAUAUAUAAGUAUAGAGGAGAGAAGAAGAGAAGAGAGAAAUAAUAGAGAUUGUAUUAUUCUCAUCAAGGUGUAUGUUUACAUGAUAAUACAAGUCAUAUUUAUAGGACAAUAUAAUGGGUCAGUGGAAUGGGCCAAUGCUUAAUGGACAUCCACCAAAUUAUUCAUAACAGUUUUCAACAUUAAUUUACUCUUUAAUUUCUUUUUUUGGUAUGCUUAACAAGUGCUCUAGGGGCACCCAUAAAGAAAUUAUGUCUUAGAAUUUGUGUAUUCAAUAUCUUAAAAGUGUAAAAAGUUAUCUCUAUAACAUUAAUUUUAUCUUUUAUUUCUUUUUUGGCAUAGUUAAUAAGUGCCCCGGGAUACUGUUUAGCAUAACCUUACAAAUAAUCUCAUUUCCAAAACGAUGAUGCGUUAUGACCCCUUCCUUAAUUAACUUAACAGAGAGUAAUAAAUAAGAACAACACACAAUUUGUUUUUAAAAGCUAAUAACAAUACCGCAACUACGAUCGGAAGGGGACUGAAACCACUUAAUGACACAAAGCUGAAGCAGAUUAAACUGAUAAUGAAAACAAAAUCAAAAAAGCUAAUAACAAUAAAGACCAAACACUACCAUAGACAUUGUUCUUAGUGUAUUAGAUACAAGAAAAUAAUUAUUUUUAUUAAAAAACAGUUUUCUUUUAUUUUUUAAAAUUAAAAAAUAUAAAAAACUCUAUACCUUUUUGUGAGAGGAAAAAUAAACUACAUCUAAAACAAUGCAUAUAAGUUUUUUCCUAACAAUAAUCUAUUCCUAUUCCAACAAAAAAAACUAUUUAAAUUAAAUCAAAGACGUUUUUUUUAUAAGAGAUACUCCAUCCGUAACACUUUAUAAACAAAAAUACAUUUUUUAAGUUAAUUGUAUAUUUAAUGUAUCUGAUCUAUCAUGAACCCAGAAAGUACAUUUUUUGCUUAUAAGAUACAUUAAAUAUACAAUGAAGAUAGAAAAUGCAUUUUACUUAUAAAGUGUCACGGAUAGAUUACUAUAGAAAUUAUUAAAUGCUAACUUAUGUAUUUUAACUUUUAAAGCAUUAAAUUUCUUGUAUCAUUAAAUGUUGGUUUUCUAUAUUGGGAUAUCUUAACAUGUGCCCUUAGGGCACAUGUUAACAAGACCCAAAAACAAAUUAUCUUUUAAAAAUAUUAGUGGCUUCGAUGCACUUUUGGUCUUCUAUUUUGAAAAAUUUAAACUUUUGAUCCAUCAAUUUUAAAAAUCAAUUUUUUUAUUCCCCUAUUUUAAAAAACCUGAACUUUAGAUUCCCUAUUUUAAAAGUCAACUUUUUGAUCCUCUAUUUUGAAAAACUUGAACUUUUGAACCCCUAUUUUAGAUUUUUCGGAAUUUUAGUCUCUAAAGUCCAAACUCAACUUGGUCAAAUUUUUGCUGAUGUGUCAAGCUCAUCAGUGACGUGGCAGUGUACAUGUUGACAAAACAUUUUCACGUCUUUAAUUUUUUUACAUCAAAUAUUUUAAAAGUAUUAAACAAUAAAGUAAUUAAUAAUAAUUAAAAAAACAGUAAAAUUAACUUUUAUACAUAUAUAUAAUUGAAAAUCCUUACCAAAAAAUAUAUAUAAAUAAAAAUCAGUAAAUUACCCAAAAAAAAUUAACGAUUGAGAACAAAGUCAAUGAACGAUUCCUUAACAUGUGCCCUUAAGACACAUGGGCACAUGUUAACAUUCUCCUUUGUUUUUUUAACUCAUUGAAAAGAUAAGCAACGAAUCAUCAUUAAUAUUAAUAUAUAAGUUAUAACACACCACACCACAACACAACUUGGAAACAAACUUGAUUCAUUCACAUCUUCUUCUGUUCUUAGGGUUUCAUAUUCCUCCUUAUCUGCCCCCUUUACACUCUUCAAUCUUCGUCCCAAUGAAACCAGGAUUCAUCUGAUUCCUCUUCAACCACACUCCUUCUUCCUCUUCACCAAUCCCUUUUCCCUAAUUN
This 6175-nucleotide long non-coding RNA is filed under the name Trifolium pratense (red clover). RNAcentral's name for it is "long non-coding RNA (TPRA_LNC000901)". The record is from RNAcentral. Lineage: Eukaryota; Viridiplantae; Streptophyta; Magnoliopsida; Fabales; Fabaceae.